UUUCUCUUCCUUAUGACUUUCUUGAAACCAUUUUUUUGCUAGCUUAAAUUAUUGCAAGAAUACUGCACAAAAUUAUUACAAUAAUAAUGCACAUA
Long non-coding RNA from Sapajus apella (tufted capuchin), 95 nucleotides. RefSeq lists it as uncharacterized. The record is from RefSeq and is a predicted model, not a curated record. Lineage: Eukaryota; Metazoa; Chordata; Mammalia; Primates; Cebidae. The transcript is spliced from 3 exons.